AGAUUGAACGCUGGCGGCAUGCCUUACACAUGCAAGUCGAACGGCAGCACGGGAGCAAUCCUGGUGGCGAGUGGCGAACGGGUGAGUAAUACAUCGGAACGUGCCCAAUCGUGGGGGAUAACGCAGCGAAAGCUGUGCUAAUACCGCAUAAGAUCUACGGAUGAAAGCAGGGGAUCGCAAGACCUUGCGCGAAUGGAGCGGCCGAUGGCAGAUUAGGUAGUUGGUGAGGUAAAGGCUCACCAAGCCUUCGAUCUGUAGCUGGUCUGAGAGGACGACCGGCCACACUGGGACUGAGACACGGCCCAGACCU
This 310-nucleotide ribosomal RNA is filed under the name uncultured soil bacterium. RNAcentral's name for it is "bacterial SSU rRNA". It matches the Rfam family "Bacterial small subunit ribosomal RNA", at positions 26 to 338 of the family's 1533-position model. The record is from RNAcentral.